RNAcentral lists this transfer RNA (76 nucleotides) under Bartonella quintana. RNAcentral describes it as "tRNA-Ala". It matches the Rfam family "tRNA". Rfam says of the family: Transfer RNA (tRNA) molecules are approximately 80 nucleotides in length. Their secondary structure includes four short double-helical elements and three loops (D, anti-codon, and T loops). Lineage: Bacteria; Pseudomonadati; Pseudomonadota; Alphaproteobacteria; Hyphomicrobiales; Bartonellaceae. The record is from RNAcentral.
GGGCCGUAGCUCAGCUGGGAGAGCACCUGCUUUGCAAGCAGGGGGUCGUCGGUUCGAUCCCGUCCGGCUCCACCAU